RNAcentral lists this ribosomal RNA (443 nucleotides) under uncultured bacterium. RNAcentral describes it as "partial 16S ribosomal RNA". It matches the Rfam family "Bacterial small subunit ribosomal RNA", at positions 338 to 795 of the family's 1533-position model. The record is from RNAcentral.
CCUACGGGUGGCUGCAGUGGGGAAUAUUGGGCAAUGGAGGCAACUCUUACCCAGCAAUGCCGCGUGAAUGAAGAAGGUCUUCGGAUUGUAAAGUUCUUUAAUUGGGGACGAAAAAAAUGACGGUACCCAAGGAAUAAGCCCCGGCUAACUACGUGCCAGCAGCCGCGGUAAUACGUAGGGGGCAAGCGUUAUCCGGAUUUACUGGGUGUAAAGGGAGCGUAGACGGCAGCGCAAGUCUGGAGUGAAAUGCCGGGGCCCAACCCCGGAACUGCUUUGGAAACUGUGCAGCUGGAGUGCAGGAGAGGUAAGCGGAAUUCCUAGUGUAGCGGUGAAAUGCGUAGAUAUUAGGAGGAACACCAGUGGCGAAGGCGGCUUACUGGACUGUAACUGACGUUGAGGCUCGAAAGCGUGGGGAGCAAACAGGAUUAGAUACCCCAGUAGUC